RNAcentral lists this ribosomal RNA (1211 nucleotides) under metagenome. RNAcentral describes it as "bacterial LSU rRNA". It matches the Rfam family "Bacterial large subunit ribosomal RNA", at positions 1723 to 2925 of the family's 2925-position model. The record is from RNAcentral.
UGACACCGUAACUUCGGAAGAAGGUGUGCCUUUAGUAGGUGAACCCGUACAGGGGGAGCCCAAUGAGGUUGCAAAGAAUCGGUGGCUGCGACUGUUUAAUAAAAACACAGCACUCUGCAAACACGAAAGUGGACGUAUAGGGUGUGACGCCUGCCCGGUGCUGGAAGAUUAAGUGAUGGGGUGCAAGCUCUUGAUCGAAGUCCCAGUAAACGGCGGCCGUAACUAUAACGGUCCUAAGGUAGCGAAAUUCCUUGUCGGGUAAGUUCCGACCUGCACGAAUAGCGUAACGAUGGCCACACCGUCUCCUCCCGAGACUCAGCGAAGUUGAAAUGUUUGUGAUGAUGCAAUCUCCCCGCGGAAAGACGGAAAGACCCCAUGAACCUUUACUGUAGCUUUGUAUUGGACUUUGAACGGAUCUGUGUAGGAUAGGUGGGAGGCUUUGAAGCAGGGUCGCUAGAUCUUGUGGAGCCAACGUUGAAAUACCACCCUGGUGCGUUUGAGGUUCUAACCUAGGCCCGUUAUCCGGGUCGGGGACAGUGCAUGGUAGGCAGUUUGACUGGGGCGGUCUCCUCCCAAAGCGUAACGGAGGAGUUCGAAGGUACGCUAGUUACGGUCGGACAUCGUGACGAUAGUGCAAUGGCAUAAGCGUGCUUAACUGCGAGACUGACAAGUCGAGCAGAUGCGAAAGCAGGACAUAGUGAUCCGGUGGUUCUGUAUGGAAGGGCCAUCGCUCAACGGAUAAAAGGUACUCUGGGGAUAACAGGCUGAUACCGCCCAAGAGUUCAUAUCGACGGCGGUGUUUGGCACCUCGAUGUCGGCUCAUCUCAUCCUGGGGCUGUAGCCGGUCCCAAGGGUAUGGCUGUUCGCCAUUUAAAGAGGUACGUGAGCUGGGUUUAAAACGUCGUGAGACAGUUUGGUCCCUAUCUUCCGUGGGCGCUGCAGAUUUGAGGAAGCCUGCUCCUAGUACGAGAGGACCGGAGUGGACGCACCUCUGGUGUACCUGUUGUCACGCCAGUGGCAUUGCAGGGUAGCUAAGUGCGGAAGAGAUAACCGCUGAAAGCAUCUAAGCGGGAAACUCGUUUCAAGAUGAGAUCUGCCGGGGCCUUGAGCCCCCUGAAGAGUCGUUCUAGACCAGGACGUUGAUAGGCUGGGUGUGGAAGCGCAGUAAUGCGUUAAGCUAACCAGUACUAAUUGCUCGUGCGGCUUGACCC